UCCUUUUAGCUUGUUGAGUAUUACGGUUUCGGCCCGUAAAGGAUAGAUUAUUUCUAUAAAGGAG
RNAcentral lists this transfer RNA (64 nucleotides) under Perumytilus purpuratus. Its description in RNAcentral is "tRNA-Arg". Lineage: Eukaryota; Metazoa; Mollusca; Bivalvia; Mytilida; Mytilidae. The record is from RNAcentral.